UAUUGCCUCCCUCAGGUGGCCACAUUCGGAACUAGAUUGCGACAUAAAAUUACAUAGGCAAUGUUUUGGAAAGAAUAAGGUUUUGCUGAGAUGUAGUUACAUGAGCAUUGUGCUACACGUAAAUACGUUUUGAUGGUGGUAGGACAAUUUUCCGACUUUUUUAAUGUGGAUUUCCAGGCUAAGGUUGUGCAUGAGCUGUUCCAUGGAUCACCUGAAUGAAACUUAUGGACCUAGCUUUGGGAACCUCUGAUGUACAGCAAAAAGAGUAUUGUGUAAUAUAGUAGACCAUCUUCCAGCACGUUCAUGAUCACUUACACACAAGACUACUUGCUUGCUAAUAUUUACAUGGAUCUUAAAGAAACAGAAUAUGAGAGUGUAGAAUGGAUGUAACUGGCUGAGGAUCAGUUCCAGUUGUAGGCAUGUGAACAUGAUAAUUAACUGAAGAUUGCUGUCUUCUGGGAUGUUGCGCCAUGUAGUAUGAUAGAUGUCCACCAACGUUUCAGAGGUCAUGCUGCCUCCGUCAUCAGGGUGAUGAAUCAUUGUUGUAAUUGACUGUAAUGUGUGACAGUAAAGGCAAUGUGAUAAAAAUAAAAAAAUGGUUUAAUGAAUCAAGAAUGAAACAUGUCAUUUUAGGGAUAAGGCACAUGGUUAACAGAAGUUGGUGUUUAGCUCAUAUAUAUACAAACAGUGCAACUAUGCAUGAGUCAUAACCUCACAAAUCAGAAUCUACUCUAAACAUUUUUUUAGAUAGUAAAGAUAUAUUACAAAACUACAUCUUUGGUGCUUUAUAAGGUGGGUUGAAAUCAGUACAAAUUACGUUGGACUUACACCGUUCUUACCAGGCAGUAAAUGUAUUGUAUGAAUAACUUAAAUAAACUUCAUAAAUACAAAUUA
Non-coding RNA from Zootermopsis nevadensis, 894 nucleotides. NCBI's taxonomy places the organism in Eukaryota, Metazoa, Arthropoda, Insecta, Blattodea, Termopsidae. The record is from RefSeq and is a predicted model, not a curated record.